UUUGCUUUAAAGCGAAGCGAUAGUUGCCUUAAUUAAACGAUGCUUACCCAGUGCCACAACCGUACAUGUGCACGCAACCGAACAAACCCACGUGACAGUCCUAUCUGAUUUCAGGCGUGUCGACCCGCUCAACCGAAACGUGCAAAAAGUUAAUAAAUCAAAUCCCAACUCUCCCUCUCGCUCGCACUUUACCAACUGAAAACUUCCCUCAAAAGUUCCAAGUUCUUUCACAGUAACCUUCUUCAAUUCGCGAUCCAAAAAUAGACUCUCAAAUUUUCAAGAAAUGGGUCUGAGAAUUGUAUACGGCGUCGUUUUCCUCUCGAUCUCCUGCGCCUGCUUCAAGCUUCUGCAUCUCUUUCUUCAUCCAGUCUUUUACCUAACUUCCUGAUUGGGCAACGAAGAGUGAAUUUUUCAGCUCAAAAGCUCAUAUAGGUAUCUUUCUUUGAUAUGUUAAUGUAAUCUUAAUCCAUACUUGGGUUUUUGUGUCUGUUCAAAUUUCAAUGGGUUAAAGAUGUGAUUGCAUUAUCAGUACUAUUGUUAUUGGUUUGUUGUAGAUUGUGUUACAUUGCUAUGGGAUCUUAAGAUGUAAUAUUUAUUUAUUUGUUUUUUUUCCUUUCCGAUACAAAUUGUUGAAAGACUUGAUUUGAUUUGUGAAUGUGAUUUGGUUUUAUUUUAUUUUGUUAUGUGAUCUAAUCUAUGGCUGAAACCAUGCCUUCAUACUUGAUCAUUCACCAUGCAAUUGGAUGUCUGUACAUUACACUUUGAAAAUUGAAAUUAGCGAUUUGUUUUGGGGUUGAGUGUUUUAUGUUCUUUAUUAGGUAGAUGCUGAUUAUUACCAGUCGGUUUCUUGAUUUGGUAAAUAAUCAAUUAUGGAAUUCUAUCUAAUUUUAAAUUAUUGAGAUUAAAUUAUAUCCAUAUCAAAUAUAUAUAUAUAUAUAUAUAUUACACUUUAAAUACUAUAAAUAAUUAAUAGUUGAAGUAAAUAAAAAAAAGGUGAUUGAGGUUAUUAAAUAACCUGCUGUANNNNNNNNNNNNNNNNNNNNNNNNNNNNNNNNNNNNNNNNNNNNNNNNNNNNNNNNNNNNNNNNNNNNNAAUUAACUGCUGUACGGCCAAGGCGGAUGUACGGUACAGCAGUCUUUUCUCUUUUAAGGUUUACGCUCUUUAAAUAUUUUUCAUUUUUAAUAUCAUUUUAAGAUAUUGUUUCAAACUUUUAGAGAUUUUUUAAAAAUAAUUUAAAUACUUUAUAAUAUGGUGAUGAUUUUAUUUUAAGUUUCUAAUUUUUAACUUACUGAAAUCAUGUAUUUAUACCUAAUAUAAAAUAGAUAAAUGGGGAAUGAAUAAAUGGGGAAUGAUGUGGGGAUGAGGAAAUCAUUUCCUACAUGGGGAUUCUCCAUCCCCACCUCACUAAAUUUAUUAGGGAAUUAGGUGGGAAUAGAGGCAAAAAAUUUUAAUGGGGUGGGAAAUGGGGUAGGCCUCUCCACCCCCACCCCCACCCCAUUAUCAUCCCUAACUCUAGAGCAUUUUGUUUAAUAUUUUAAAAUUUGAACUACAAUUAUAAAUUUUGUUUAGGGGUAAUUCAAGAAUCUACGGCAUGGGCUCAUUCGGGGGGCAAUGGUUACCCUUUCAAUCUUUCACGGCAUUUGGUGUAUUGGGCCACAGCCCCAAUAUGGAUCAACACAGACUCUGGUAAUUGAAAAUGACAAAUAUUUUACGAAUACGUACGUGAUACGUAUGAUACCUGCCCUACAUGAAAAAUAUAAAGAAAUAGAGAACUAAAUAAAUAAAUUGUAUUAGCUAAAUUAAUAUCAUAAUAUGGGUAGUUGUAAGUUGCUUGCUGGCAGACUAAUUGUCUCUGCAUAAGUAGGGAUGGCAAAAAUCCCCACGGGACGGGUACCCUCGGAGAUUUUUCCCAUUCGGAGAGAGUAUGGGGAUAAUUUCAUACCUAAUUUCUUAUUCAGGGAAGGGGACGGGGAAAUUUUUUUACCCAAUUUCUUAUUCGGGGAGGGGAUGGGGAUGAGGUGGAAUCCCCAUCCCUUACCCAUUUCCCCAUUUUAAUUUGUAAUUUAAUUUUUAUUUUUUAAAAUUACUAGUAAAUAAAUAAUAAAAUUUGAAUUAUAAAAUUAUAAGUAUUGGUAAAAAUAAAAAAUAUCAAAAUAUUUAUAUUAUUAAACUUUUAGACCUAAUUAACUAAUUAAAGUCCUACAUUUUUAUUUAUGACAUUAAAAAGACCGGACAAAUUCUAUUAGCCCAAAAC
Molecule: long non-coding RNA, 2254 nt
Filed under: Citrus sinensis (sweet orange)
Lineage: Eukaryota; Viridiplantae; Streptophyta; Magnoliopsida; Sapindales; Rutaceae
Description: long non-coding RNA (CSIN_LNC002669)
Source: RNAcentral